RNAcentral lists this ribosomal RNA (811 nucleotides) under uncultured marine Geminigeraceae. RNAcentral's name for it is "SSU rRNA". It matches the Rfam family "Eukaryotic small subunit ribosomal RNA", at positions 442 to 1267 of the family's 1831-position model. The record is from RNAcentral. Lineage: Eukaryota; Cryptophyceae; Pyrenomonadales; Geminigeraceae.
UACCCAAUCCCGAUUCGGGGAGGUAGUGACAAUAAAUAACAAUACAGGGCCAACGGUCUUGUUAUUGGAAUGAGAACAAUUUAAAUAACUUAACGAGGAUCAAUUAGAGGGCAAGUCUGGUGCCAGCAGCCGCGGUAAUUCCAGCUCUAAUAGCGUAUAUUAAAGUUGUUGCAGUUAAAAAGCUCGUAGUCGGAUGUCGGGCUCGGGCAGGCUGUCGGCUUCGGUCGGACGGCAGGCUCGGGUCUUUCUGCCUGAGGAACCCGUGGCACUUAACUGUGCGGCGUGGGGACGCAGGCCGUUUACUUUGAAAAAAUUAGAGUGUUCAAAGCAGGCCUACGCUUGAAUACAUUAGCAUGGAAUAAUGGAAUAGGACUUUGGUGCUAUUUUGUUGGUUUAUGGGACCGAAGUAAUGAUUAACAGGGACAGUUGGGGCCGUUUAUAUUUCGUUGUCAGAGGUGAAAUUCUUGGAUUUACGAAAGAUAAACUUCUGCGAAAGCAUUCGGCAAGGAUGUUUUCAUUGAUCAAGAACGAAAGUUAGGGGAUCGAAGACGAUCAGAUACCGUCGUAGUCUUAACCAUAAACUAUGCCGACUAGGGAUCAGUGGAUGUCAAUUUGCGACUCCAUUGGCACCUUGUGAGAAAUCAAAGUUUUUGGGUUCCGGGGGGAGUAUGGUCGCAAGGCUGAAACUUAAAGGAAUUGACGGAAGGGCACCACCAGGAGUGGAGCCUGCGGCUUAAUUUGACUCAACACGGGGAAACUUACCAGGUCCAGACAUAGUAAGGAUUGACAGAUUGAAAGCUCUUUCUUGAUU